GCAUAAGCAGGAACCACUUCAAAUAAGGUCGGUGUAUCACAAAAUUCGGAGGCCCCGACUGUUUACUAACAAACACAAAUUCAGAGCAACUGAUGAAAAUCACUAGAUACUUCUGGAUGAAAUUUGCCCGAUGCCAUUAACAUAAAAAAGGUAAUGGGAUACUGUUACUAAUUGAAAGUCUGGUUAAUACGCGGUCUUAACUAUGAGGAUCACUAAGGUAGCAAAAUCAGUUGGCCAUUAAAUGUGGUCUGGUAUCAAUAGUGUAACGAUGGUCUCACUGUCUCUACAACUUGCUCAGUGAAAUUGAAUUAUCCGUGCAGAUGCGGAUUGCCUCCAGGUGGACGGGAAGACCCUAUGCAGCUUCUACUG
RNAcentral lists this ribosomal RNA (369 nucleotides) under uncultured fungus. Its description in RNAcentral is "LSU rRNA". It matches the Rfam family "Bacterial large subunit ribosomal RNA", at positions 1739 to 2106 of the family's 2925-position model. The record is from RNAcentral. Lineage: Eukaryota; Fungi.